CCUACGGGAGGCAGCAGUGAGGAAUAUUGGUCAAUGGACGAGAGUCUGAACCAGCCAAGUAGCGUGAAGGAUGACUGCCCUAUGGGUUGUAAACUUCUUUUAUAUGGGAAUAAAAUGUUCCACGUGUGGGAUUUUGUAUGUACCAUAUGAAUAAGGAUCGGCUAACUCCGUGCCAGCAGCCGCGGUAAUACGGAGGCUCCGAGCGUUAUCCGUAUUUAUUGGGUUUAAAGGGAGCGUAGGUGGAUUGUUAAGUCAGUUGUGAAAGUGUGCGGCUCAACCGUAAAAUUGCAGUUGAAACUGGCAGUCUUGAGUACAGUAGAGGUGGGCGGAAUGCGUGGUGUAGCGGUGAAAUGCUUAGAUAUCACGAAGAAAUCCGAUUGCGAAGGCAGUUCACUGGACUGCAACUGACACUGAGGCUCGAAAGUGUGGGUAUCAAACAGGAGUAGAUACCCGAGUAGUC
Molecule: ribosomal RNA, 460 nt
Filed under: uncultured bacterium
Lineage: Bacteria
Description: partial 16S ribosomal RNA
Rfam family: Bacterial small subunit ribosomal RNA
Source: RNAcentral